GCUUGUCUCAAAGAUUAAGCCAUGCAUGUCUUAGUGUAAAUAACUCUUAUGAAACUGCGAAUGGCUCAUUAAAUCAGUUAUCAAAUACGUGAUGGUCGCCUACUACAUGGAUAACCGUAGUAAUUCUAGAGCUAAUACAUGCACAAAGGCCCACUCACGUGGGUUGUGAUUAUUAGAUUCAAACCGGCCUCGUUCUGGUGAUUCAUAAUAACUGAGCGAACCGCAUGCGCAAGCGGCGGUGGUUCAUUCAAGUUUCUGCCCUAUCAGCUUUCGAUGGUAGGGUAUUGGCCUACCAUGGCGUUAACGGGUAACGGAGAAUUAGGGUUCGAUUCCGGAGAGGGAGCCUGAGAAAUGGCUACCACAUCCAAGGAAGGCAGCAGG
RNAcentral lists this ribosomal RNA (381 nucleotides) under uncultured Cryptomonas. RNAcentral's name for it is "partial small subunit ribosomal RNA". It matches the Rfam family "Eukaryotic small subunit ribosomal RNA", at positions 30 to 432 of the family's 1831-position model. The record is from RNAcentral. Lineage: Eukaryota; Cryptophyceae; Cryptomonadales; Cryptomonadaceae.